UAAAAAAAUUUUUUUUUUUUUUUUUUUUUUUUUUUUUUUUUUUAAAGUUAUUCAAUUAUUUUAGUGGA
RNAcentral lists this long non-coding RNA (68 nucleotides) under Cotesia glomerata. RNAcentral's name for it is "uncharacterized LOC123260407, transcript variant X1". Lineage: Eukaryota; Metazoa; Arthropoda; Insecta; Hymenoptera; Braconidae. The record is from RNAcentral.